AGAUUUGCAGAUCAAAAAAAUCCUCCAAAUCAGUCUUCCAAUGAAAGACCACCAUCUCUUCUUGUGAUAGAAACCAAAAAACCUCCACUUAAAAAAGGAGAGAAAGAAAAGAAAAAAAGCAAUUUGGAACUCUUCAAAGAAGAAUUAAAGCAAAUUCAAGAGGAACGUGAUGAGAGACAUAAAACAAAAGGCAGAUUAAGUCGAUUUGAACCUCCUCAGUCAGAUUCUGAUGGUCAGCGUCGUUCUAUGGACGCGCCUUCAAGAAGAAAUAGAUCAUCUGGUGUUCUUGAUGAUUACGCACCUGGCUCACAUGAUGUAGGAGAUCCAAGCACUACUAAUUUAUACCUUGGAAACAUUAAUCCACAGAUGAAUGAAGAAAUGCUGUGCCAAGAAUUUGGAAGAUUUGGACCGUUAGCCAGUGUGAAAAUCAUGUGGCCUAGAACUGAUGAAGAAAGAGCCAGAGAGAGAAAUUGCGGCUUUGUGGCCUUUAUGAAUAGAAGAGAUGCUGAAAGAGCUUUAAAAAAUUUGAAUGGAAAAAUGAUUAUGUCUUUUGAAAUGAAGUUAGGUUGGGGUAAAGCUGUACCUAUUCCUCCACAUCCAAUAUACAUUCCGCCUUCUAUGAUGGAACAUACGCUUCCCCCACCUCCGUCCGGACUGCCUUUUAAUGCGCAGCCUAGAGAGCGGUUAAAAAACCCUAAUGCUCCUAUGUUACCGCCACCUAAAAACAAAGAGGAUUUUGAGAAGGAAUUUGCUCGCCCUGAUACAUCGAAUGAUAGAGUUUGUUGUACGUGAAGGGCCAAUGUUUGAAGCUAUGAUUAUGAACAGAGAAAUCAACAAUCCUAUGUUCAGGUGUGCAUUUUUAAAA
RNAcentral lists this small RNA (865 nucleotides) under Pan troglodytes (chimpanzee). RNAcentral's name for it is "retained intron". The record is from RNAcentral. Lineage: Eukaryota; Metazoa; Chordata; Mammalia; Primates; Hominidae.